AACGAACGCUGGCGGCAGGCUUAACACAUGCAAGUCGAACGCUCGUGGCAACACGGGAGUGGCGGACGGGUGAGUAACGCGUGGGAACGUGCCCUGAGGUUGGGAAUAACUGCGGGAAACUGCAGCUAAUACCUGAUGCGCCCCGAGAGGGGAAAGAUUUAUCGCCUUGGGAGCGGCCCGCGUCGGAUUAGCUAGUUGGUGGGGUAACGGCCUACCAAGGCUUCGAUCCGUAGCUGGUCUGAGAGGACGAUCAGCCACACUGGGACUGAGACACGGCCCAGACUCCUACGGGAGGCAGCAGUGGGGAAUCUUGCGCAAUGGGGGCAACCCUGACGCAGCCAUGCCGCGUGAAUGAUGAAGGCCUUAGGGUUGUAAAGUUCUUUUGCCCGUGACGAUGAUGACGGUAACGGGAGAAUAAGCUCCGGCUAACUUCGUG
RNAcentral lists this ribosomal RNA (436 nucleotides) under uncultured bacterium. RNAcentral describes it as "bacterial SSU rRNA". It matches the Rfam family "Bacterial small subunit ribosomal RNA", at positions 29 to 507 of the family's 1533-position model. The record is from RNAcentral.